Salvia splendens (bonfire salvia) is the source of this 864-nucleotide RNA transcript. RefSeq lists it as uncharacterized. NCBI's taxonomy places the organism in Eukaryota, Viridiplantae, Streptophyta, Magnoliopsida, Lamiales, Lamiaceae. The transcript has 2 exons. The record is from RefSeq and is a predicted model, not a curated record.
UAUGCUAUUCCACACUUUCGUGUGAAACCGAUGUGGGAUUGUAUCAAUCCAUCCCUCUUUUAAACCGGACGUUCACAGACAGCACACGCCAGGUGGCGAACCCAAAGCCAUGGGCCCACCAUCCCCUUUGCUGCCCUUUUUCCUUCGGGCCCACAUUUUUCGGUGGCACCCCUUUGGUCACACCUACGGGUAGCCACUUUCCAUAGGACAUCCGGAUCCACGUUCGCCGCAUCAAAUUGAUAAGCAUAUAAGAUAGGAAGCCCUAACUUAACCCAAAACCAUGGUCAAAGGCAAAUCCAAAAAUUGCACCUUAUAGGAAACGAAUUACUGUAGAGAAUUGGGAUGAUAUUUGUACUCUUUUCUCUCAAGAUCGUGCUGAUGGUCAAUGUUCGAAAACAUUCCAAGAAAAUACUAAUGAGGAGGUUGAUUUUGCUACUGUUGGAGAAUCGCUCGAUAUGAGUGUUGAAGAAGCUAAUGCUAUGACAGAUUUGGUGGCCCGAAAAAACGAAAGGAGGCAACAUCUUCCUCAAGUUCUCUAUGAUCAAAGAAGAAAGUGUCAUCGACUAAGGUCAUAUCUGAUUGUGUGCACUGAUUUUAGUGACUAUCUAAUGGUGGAAAAGAAUAAGUCUGAGCUUGUUGUGGAGCAGAAAAAGCUUGAUAUAGAGCAGAAAAAGCUUAUUAUGGAAAAGCAAAAAAAAAGAUGAACCCCCAAGAAAUAUUAGCAGAGUUGAAGACGAUGGAUUUGGAUGAGAUGCAGUUGAUCAAAGGCUCUCGAUUUGAUGAUGCGCGAUGGUAUAUUAUUCGAUACAUUUGUGGGUAUACCGGUAGAGUUGAAGUACAAGUGGCUUAAAGCGCAACUUUAAA